UACGGCGGCGGGACAGUUCGCAAGAACUGCCUGAGGAAAGUCCGGGCUUCACAGAGGCAUGGCAACUGCUAACGGCAGCCGGGGGUGACCCCAGGGAUAGUGCAACAGAAAGAAACCGCCGCGCUUGCGCGGUAAGGAUGGAAAGGCGAGGUAAGAGCUCACCAGCGCACUGGCGACUUUGCGGCUAUGUAAACCCUGCUUGAAGCAACAUCCGUAUGGGACAUUAUGCGGAGCCUCGCGCGUCCCGGUGAUGGCGUGAGCCUUGCGGCGACGCAAGGCCAAGAUAGAUCGUCGUUUGAUACAGAACCCGGCUUACGGUCCAGUC
This 325-nucleotide RNase P RNA is filed under the name uncultured Gemmiger sp. RNAcentral describes it as "Bacterial RNase P class A". It matches the Rfam family "Bacterial RNase P class A". From Rfam's summary of the family: Ribonuclease P (RNase P) is a ubiquitous endoribonuclease, found in archaea, bacteria and eukarya as well as chloroplasts and mitochondria. Lineage: Bacteria; Bacillati; Bacillota; Clostridia; Eubacteriales; Oscillospiraceae. The record is from RNAcentral.